RNAcentral lists this ribosomal RNA (549 nucleotides) under uncultured Glomeromycotina. RNAcentral's name for it is "SSU rRNA". It matches the Rfam family "Eukaryotic small subunit ribosomal RNA", at positions 548 to 1098 of the family's 1831-position model. The record is from RNAcentral. Lineage: Eukaryota; Fungi; Glomeromycota.
UUGGAGGGCAAGUCUGGUGCCAGCAGCCGCGGUAAUUCCAGCUCCAAUAGCGUAUAUUAAAGUUGUUGCAGUUAAAAAGCUCGUAGUUGAAUUUCGGGAUUAGUAGGUUGGUCGUGCCUCCGGUAUGCACUGGCUUUACUGGUUCCUCCUUCUUGAAGAACUGUAAUGUCAUUAAUUUGGUGUUGCAGGGAAACAGGACUGUUACUUUGAAAAAAUUAGAGUGUUUAAAGCAGGCUAACGCUUGAAUACAUUAGCAUGGAAUAAUGAAAUAGGACGUUUGAUCCUAUUUUGUUGGUUUCUAGGAUUGACGUAAUGAUUAAUAGGGAUAGUUGGGGGCAUUAGUAUUCAAUUGUCAGAGGUGAAAUUCUUGGAUUUAUUGAAGACUAACUACUGCGAAAGCAUUUGCCAAGGAUGUUUUCAUUAAUCAAGAACGAAAGUUAGGGGAUCGAAGACGAUCAGAUACCGUCGUAGUCUUAACCAUAAACUAUGCCGACUAGGGAUCGGAUGAUGUUAAUUUUUUAAUGACUCAUUCGGCGCCUUACGGGAAAC